UUAUGCAGGUGCAGUAUGGUAGAGUGAGUACUUAUGUAUCUCAACAACAGAAGAAGUAUAAAUCGAAGCAUUCUAUUCAUGAUUUGGAAUGGGCCACAGUAAGUCUGGUUUAGUAAGGUUAAUGACAGUAUUUUUAUAGGAAGUAUGCCAGAUCCUUACAGAUCAUAAAGGAUUACUAUAUGUAUUUAUCCUCCAAUUGAGACGAAGAACAUAGUUAGAGGUUAUAGACAUACUCAAUGUGGAUUUCUCAGGAGAAGUAGCUUAUCUCCAAAGAAAAUAUUGAUCCAUGAUGGUAAGACUGAGGAAUUUCAAAAUGGACUUUGGAUAAACAGAAGCACCGUUACCCACUCUUCAGAAAGGAUCAGUGCUAAAAACUCAAAGAUUCGCAGGAUAUUUUCAAGGUCUAGAGUUGACUCCUACAAGAAAGAGUUGAAUUGUGUAAUAUGGAAGUAAGGUUUUACAAUAGAGGUGGUUACUUAUGAGGAAAGGCACGGUAAAGUUUGCCAAGAAGCAAUAGUCCAGUAAUAGAAAUCAACAGGAUUCUUAUAACCAUUUCCGAUUUCUCAAGAGAAGCGGGAACAACUUACGAUGGAUUUUAAGUUCAGCCUCCUUGAAUAUAGAGAAAGCAGAGUGGAGUGUAAGAAAUUAAGAAUCGAUUCAGUAAGCCUGUUUGUGUCCCACAGAUAAGAGCCAAGGAUAGUUUGAACAAACUGCCAAGAAUUUUUCCAGAUAAGAUCUUGCGCCGCUAUGGAAUACCAGUCUCUAUAGUUUAGAAUUAAAAAUCCAUAUUAUGUUCCAGUUGGACUCAGCUAAAAGAAGCUUUUGGGCCUUGAGUACAGUUUAAUACCGCAAUUCACUCCAGACAGAUGACCAGCUUAAGAAAAUGAUUUAAAUUGUGGAAAGGUUAUUGAGACAUAAUCUACUUCAAUUUCAGAAUGAUUUGAGUGAAAAGAUGCUGGUUUGGGAGUAUGCCUUAAGUGACAGUUGUCGGAUUUCCUCGGAUUACAAAUCUAAAAUUUGCUAUUAGUAUCUGUAACUGAGAUAUUUCCAAUAGAUGCCUUACACGAGGCAUAGUAUGGAUCACCCAAGUAUGAAGAUGGAAUGUUAAGCAAGGUUUAUCGAAAUCUGAAAGUAUGGUAGGAAAUAAAGAACCUUAUUGGAUUAAGCAGAAAAAUACUCAAGUAACCCAGGACUGGCAAGAAGUUAUGCAGAUACUAGAAGAAGGAUCUUCAGUUGGGUAUUCUCCAAUAUUUAUUGCCUGAGGAAGGUGAAAUGAGAUUUAAGGAAGCAAGGGAGCCAAAUCCUAGUUGUAUCGGACCCAAUGAGAAUAUAGAAUGUGUGGGAAACAAACAGUACAGAUUUUGGAAUAGGAAGUGUCCAGCUUUCUGUGACACAUGUUGUGUAAUAACUUAAGUUGCAGAUAUAGGUGCAGUCCUUCCCCCUCUUUAAACGACAAGGAGGUAAAUUUCGAGGACGAAAUUUUUAUAAGGGGGGUAGAUUGUAAUAACCCAAAACAAAAUAUCUAAAAAGAAAUAAAAUAUCUAAAAAGAGAGGAUAAUAUCUUCUAGCAAAAAGACAAGUUUGCCCUCGCAUAUUUUAAUGGGGGAAAAUUUGACUUUUUAAUCAAGAAAUAAUUUGAGAAUUCCGCUUACGCCAUUGCGUAGAGCGCGGCCAAACGAGUUCGUAGACACGGAGUAGACCCGAAUCGGAGCUGUAACGAAGAAGAUAUGGUCUAAAUACCGCGAAGGGCAAAAUGGUAAUUUGGUCAAAAAGUCAGAUUUUUAUCCCUUCUCUCUCUCCUCUCCCACGUCAGUUUUCUCUCUCUCCUCUCUUCCUCUCCCGUCGCACCCAGCCGUGCGACGCUUCGACUUCUAGGCGACGGCCCGGCCACCACAGGCCGAGCCAAUCUACGGCAAGGGUACCGUCGGCUCCGCCUCCCUCUCGCCGUCAAGACCUGACCGACCUCCACCCUUGGGCCGCCCGGAGUUGAUUGGAAAACCAUGAUUUCCGAUGGAUGUUCAUCCGAGUUCACCCGAUCUUCCAGCUCGAAUUUCUCCUUCGUUUCUCCACCAAAUCAAUUGAGUAAGGCACCAAAGGUCCGGUCGACCCGCAGCCGGGACCUUCGAAGGGUCAAAUUAGCUCGGACCAUCUGCCGUAGAAGUACGCGGGAUCCACCACCGGGCCAUUCAUAGCUUUCGCGCCUCGAAGUCAGGCAGUAGCUUGAUCUGAGCCGAGCAACCGAGCCAAGAAUUGUACUUUCACGCCCUAAACUUCUACAGGGCAUUUCUGUUUGUUUAAUUUCCUUUGAACUUCAUUUCGGUUGUAAACUGAAGUCUUCUUUAGAAUUGCUCUGUUAUCGCCCAUGUAAGGUUGGACUUAAGGACAGAGGCCUAUCCGGUAAACUGUGUGCUUUUA
Prunus persica (peach) is the source of this 2415-nucleotide long non-coding RNA. RefSeq lists it as uncharacterized. The record is from RefSeq and is a predicted model, not a curated record. The transcript has 4 exons. Lineage: Eukaryota; Viridiplantae; Streptophyta; Magnoliopsida; Rosales; Rosaceae.